UACAGAGGGGGCAAGCGUUAUUCGGAAUUACUGGGCGUAAAGGGCGCGUAGGCGGCCUACUAAGUCGGACGUGAAAUCCCUCGGCUCAACCGGGGAACUGCGUCCGAUACUGGUGGGCUUGAAUCCGGGAGAGGGAUGUGGAAUUCCAGGUGUAGCGGUGAAAUGCGUAGAUAUCUGGAGGAACACCGGUGGCGAAGGCGGCAUCCUGGACCGGUAUUGACGCUGAUGCGCGAAAGCGUGGGGAGCAAACGGG
This 253-nucleotide ribosomal RNA is filed under the name uncultured bacterium. Its description in RNAcentral is "partial 16S ribosomal RNA". It matches the Rfam family "Bacterial small subunit ribosomal RNA", at positions 524 to 776 of the family's 1533-position model. The record is from RNAcentral.